Molecule: non-coding RNA, 23 nt
Filed under: Arabidopsis thaliana (thale cress)
Lineage: Eukaryota; Viridiplantae; Streptophyta; Magnoliopsida; Brassicales; Brassicaceae
Source: RNAcentral
UGCGCCGUAGAUAUCUUGUCCAC